AGUGAACGCUGGCGGUAGGCCUAACACAUGCAAGUCGAACGGCAGCACAGUAGGAGCUUGCUCUUACGGGUGGCGAGUGGCGGACGGGUGAGGAAUACAUCGGAAUCUACUUUUUCGUGGGGGAUAACGUAGGGAAACUUACGCUAAUACCGCAUACGACCUACGGGUGAAAGCAGGGGAUCUUCGGACCUUGCGCGAUUGAAUGAGCCGAUGUCGGAUUAGCUAGUUGGCGGGGUAAAGGCCCACCAAGGCGACGAUCCGUAGCUGGUCUGAGAGGAUGAUCAGCCACACUGGAACUGAGACACGGUCCAGACUCCUACGGGAGGCAGCAGUGGGGAAUAUUGGACAAUGGGCGCAAGCCUGAUCCAGCCAUACCACGUGGGUGAAGAAGGCCUUCGGGUUGUAAAGCCCUUUUGUUGGGAAAGAAAAGCAGCAGGUUAAUACCCCGCUGUUCUGACGGUACCCAAAGAAUAAGCACCGGCUAACUUCGUG
RNAcentral lists this ribosomal RNA (492 nucleotides) under uncultured bacterium. Its description in RNAcentral is "partial 16S ribosomal RNA". It matches the Rfam family "Bacterial small subunit ribosomal RNA", at positions 29 to 507 of the family's 1533-position model. The record is from RNAcentral.